RNAcentral lists this ribosomal RNA (908 nucleotides) under uncultured bacterium. RNAcentral describes it as "bacterial SSU rRNA". It matches the Rfam family "Bacterial small subunit ribosomal RNA", at positions 54 to 975 of the family's 1533-position model. The record is from RNAcentral.
CAUGCAAGUCGAACGAGCGAGAGAGAGCUUGCUUUCUCGAGCGAGUGGCGAACGGGUGAGUAACGCGUGAGGAACCUGCCUCAAAGAGGGGGACAACAGUUGGAAACGACUGCUAAUACCGCAUAAGCCCACGACCCGGCAUCGGGUAGAGGGAAAAGGAGCAAUCCGCUUUGAGAUGGCCUCGCGUCCGAUUAGCUAGUUGGUGAGGUAACGGCCCACCAAGGCGACGAUCGGUAGCCGGACUGAGAGGUUGAACGGCCACAUUGGGACUGAGACACGGCCCAGACUCCUACGGGAGGCAGCAGUGGGGAAUAUUGCACAAUGGGGGAAACCCUGAUGCAGCGACGCCGCGUGGAGGAAGAAGGUCUUCGGAUUGUAAACUCCUGUUGUUGAGGAAGAUAAUGACGGUACUCAACAAGGAAGUGACGGCUAACUACGUGCCAGCAGCCGCGGUAAAACGUAGGUCACAAGCGUUGUCCGGAAUUACUGGGUGUAAAGGGAGCGCAGGCGGGAAGACAAGUUGGAAGUGAAAUCCAUGGGCUCAACCCAUGAACUGCUUUCAAAACUGUUUUUCUUGAGUAGUGCAGAGGUAGGCGGAAUUCCCGGUGUAGCGGUGGAAUGCGUAGAUAUCGGGAGGAACACCAGUGGCGAAGGCGGCCUACUGGGCACCAACUGACGCUGAGGCUCGAAAGUGUGGGUAGCAAACAGGAUUAGAUACCCUGGUAGUCCACACUGUAAACGAUGAUUACUAGGUGUUGGAGGAUUGACCCCUUCAGUGCCGCAGUUAACACAAUAAGUAAUCCACCUGGGGAGUACGACCGCAAGGUUGAAACUCAAAGGAAUUGACGGGGGCCCGCACAAGCAGUGGAGUAUGUGGUUUAAUUCGACGCAACGCGAAGAACCUUACC